This 253-nucleotide ribosomal RNA is filed under the name uncultured bacterium. RNAcentral describes it as "partial 16S ribosomal RNA". It matches the Rfam family "Bacterial small subunit ribosomal RNA", at positions 524 to 776 of the family's 1533-position model. The record is from RNAcentral.
UACGUAGGGGGCAAGCGUUGUCCGGAAUCAUUGGGCGUAAAGCGCGUGUAGGUGGCCCGGUAAGUCCGCUGUGAAAGUCGGGGGCUCAACCCUCGGAUGCCGGUGGAUACUGUCGGGCUAGAGUGCGGGAGAGGCGAGUGGAAUUCCUGGUGUAGCGGUGAAAUGCGCAGAUAUCAGGAGGAACACCAAUUGCGAAGGCAGCUCGCUGGAACGUUACUGACGCUGAGACGCGAAAGCGUGGGGAGCGAACAGG